RNAcentral lists this long non-coding RNA (404 nucleotides) under Homo sapiens (human). RNAcentral describes it as "non-protein coding lnc-GPCPD1-8:7". The record is from RNAcentral. Lineage: Eukaryota; Metazoa; Chordata; Mammalia; Primates; Hominidae.
AAAUAAGGCACUGUUGCCAGGGCCUGAGCCCAGCAGGAAAAGGGUGUGUGCAGAGGGAGGGCCUCGGGUCCUGCUGCUCCUCCUGGACUCCUUCAUCCCAAUCCCUUCACAUCCUUCUCUGACAAGGACUCCCACGUCCCUCCCCGGCUAACCUGGAUCCUGCUCAACCCAACACCUGCCUUCUCUCGGUCCCUGGGUUCCCGCAGGCCUUGGGGCCCCACAGUCAUAUCUGCUGUUCCUGCAGCAGAGAGGUUGUACUGGGUUGAGAGAGAGGCCUCAGAAUCAAGACCUUGUCUCCUGCCACAGUUUCCCUGGUGAAGCUCCCAGGCUGAGCACAAACUUCCAGGUCGAGCACAGAAGUUUCGACCUGGAAACUUCAGCCCUCAGAGAGGAGGUGGCACUAA